This 69-nucleotide transfer RNA is filed under the name Brachyplatys subaeneus. RNAcentral's name for it is "tRNA-Gln". Lineage: Eukaryota; Metazoa; Arthropoda; Insecta; Hemiptera; Plataspidae. The record is from RNAcentral.
UAUAUAAUAGUGUAUGAUGCACAUUGAGUUUUGAUCUCUUUAGUUAUGGUUUAAUUCCGUAUUAUAUAA